This 706-nucleotide ribosomal RNA is filed under the name Clostridium perfringens. RNAcentral describes it as "partial 16S ribosomal RNA". It matches the Rfam family "Bacterial small subunit ribosomal RNA", at positions 824 to 1533 of the family's 1533-position model. The record is from RNAcentral. Lineage: Bacteria; Bacillati; Bacillota; Clostridia; Eubacteriales; Clostridiaceae. RNAcentral also lists the same sequence under 1 other name.
GGGGGUUUCAACACCUCCGUGCCGCCGCUAACGCAUUAAGUAUUCCGCCUGGGGAGUACGGUCGCAAGAUUAAAACUCAAAGGAAUUGACGGGGACCCGCACAAGUAGCGGAGCAUGUGGUUUAAUUCGAAGCAACGCGAAGAACCUUACCUACACUUGACAUCCCUUGCAUUACUCUUAAUCGAGGAAAUCCCUUCGGGGACAAGGUGACAGGUGGUGCAUGGUUGUCGUCAGCUCGUGUCGUGAGAUGUUGGGUUAAGUCCCGCAACGAGCGCAACCCUUGUCGUUAGUUACUACCAUUAAGUUGAGGACUCUAGCGAGACUGCCUGGGUUAACCAGGAGGAAGGUGGGGAUGACGUCAAAUCAUCAUGCCCCUUAUGUGUAGGGCUACACACGUGCUACAAUGGCUGGUACAGAGAGAUGCAAUACCGCGAGGUGGAGCCAAACUUAAAAACCAGUCUCAGUUCGGAUUGUAGGCUGAAACUCGCCUACAUGAAGCUGGAGUUACUAGUAAUCGCGAAUCAGAAUGUCGCGGUGAAUACGUUCCCGGGUCUUGUACACACCGCCCGUCACACCAUGAGAGUUGGCAAUACCCGAAGUCCGUGAGCUAACCGCAAGGAGGCAGCGGCCGAAGGUAGGGUCAGCGAUUGGGGUGAAGUCGUAACAAGGUAGCCGUAGGAGAACCUGCGGCUGGAUCACCUCCUUU